AUACGGAGGAUCCGAGCGUUAUCCGGAUUUAUUGGGUUUAAAGGGUGCGCAGGCGGCCAUUUAAGUCAGCGGUUAAAUCGGGGGGCUCAACCCCAUUCUGCCGUUGAUACUGGGUGGCUUGAUUGCGGUCGAGGUUGGCGGAAUUCGUUGUGUAGCGGGGAAAUGCAUAGAUAUGACGAAGAACACCGAUUGCGUAGGCAGCUGACCAGACCGCAAAUGACGCUCAUGCACGAAAGUGCGGGGAUCGAACAGGAUUAGAUACCCUGGUAGUCCGCACAGUAAACGAUGAAUACUUGUUUUCGGCGAUAUAAUGUCGGAGGCAAAGCGAAAGCGAUAAGUAUUCCACCUGGGGAGUACGCCGGCAACGGUGAAACUCAAAUGAAUUGACGGGG
This 392-nucleotide ribosomal RNA is filed under the name uncultured bacterium. RNAcentral's name for it is "partial 16S ribosomal RNA". It matches the Rfam family "Bacterial small subunit ribosomal RNA", at positions 523 to 918 of the family's 1533-position model. The record is from RNAcentral.